Molecule: ribosomal RNA, 440 nt
Filed under: uncultured bacterium
Lineage: Bacteria
Description: partial 16S ribosomal RNA
Rfam family: Bacterial small subunit ribosomal RNA
Source: RNAcentral
CCUACGGGAGGCUGCAGUGGGGAAUAUUGCACAAUGGGGGAAACCCUGAUGCAGCGACGCCGCGUGAGCGAUGAAGUCCUUCGGUAUGUAAAGCUCUAUUAGCAGGGAAGAAAAUGACGGUAUCUGACUAAGAAGCCUCGGCUAACUACGUGCCAGCAGCCGCGGUAAUACGUAGGGGGCAAGCGUUAUCCGGAUUUACUGGGUGUAAAGGGAGCGUAGACGGUCCUGCAAGCCAGAUGUGAAAGCCCGGGGCCCAACCCCGGGACUGCUCUUGAAACUGCAUGGCUGGAGUACAGGAGGGGCAGGCGGAAUUCCUAGUGUAGCGGUGAAAUGCGUAGAUAUUAGGAGGAACACCGGUGGCGAAGGCGGCCUGCUGGACUGUGACUGACGUUGAGGCCCGAAGGCGUGGGGAGCAAACAGGAUUAGAUACCCCGGUAGUC